Molecule: ribosomal RNA, 500 nt
Filed under: uncultured bacterium
Lineage: Bacteria
Description: partial 16S ribosomal RNA
Rfam family: Bacterial small subunit ribosomal RNA
Source: RNAcentral
AUUGAACGCUGGCGGCAUGCCUUACACAUGCAAGUCGAACGGCAGCACGGGAGCAAUCCUGGUGGCGAGUGGCGAACGGGUGAGUAAUACAUCGGAACGUGCCCAGUUGUGGGGGAUAGCCCGGCGAAAGCCGGAUUAAUACCGCAUACGACCUACGGGUGAAAGCGGGGGAUCGCUAGACCUCGCGCUAUUGGAGCGGCCGAUGUCGGAUUAGCUAGUUGGUGGGGUAAAAGCCUACCAAGGCUACGAUCCGUAGCUGGUCUGAGAGGACGACCAGCCACACUGGGACUGAGACACGGCCCAGACUCCUACGGGAGGCAGCAGUGGGGAAUUUUGGACAAUGGGCGCAAGCCUGAUCCAGCCAUGCCGCGUGCGGGAAGAAGGCCUUCGGGUUGUAAACCGCUUUUGUCAGGGAAGAAACGGUUUGGGCUAAUACCCCGAACUAAUGACGGUACCUGAAGAAUAAGCACCGGCUAACUACGUGCCAGCCGCCGCUGUAA